AUCAUGGGCCCGUUACGAAUGAUUGGUCCAGGCGUUGGUGAGAUGAGCCCAUUAGUUACUUAGGGUUUCACACAUCUCCUCAGCCGUCACUCCCCUCUCUUUCUCUCUCCUCAGAAAUCAUCCUCUAACUUUCUCUUUCACUCACUCACUACCUUUCUCUCUCCUCUUUAGAACUCAAUGUCUUUCUCUCUCCUCAAGAUUCAUUCUCAUUUACUCUCUUUACCACCUCUUCUUACCUCCAUAUUCUCUUUCCUCUUGAUUAUGCAUUUUUUUUUAAAUUUAUGUUUUGUUUUUGCUACUAGAUCUGUAGCAAUUAGAUUCAAAUUGGUAGAAUUUUUGGGUUUUAUAAUUAGAUUAUAAUCUGAUUUUUAUUUGAAUGAUUUUUGCUAGUUUAUUGUUGAAAACCAAGAGGAGGAAGUGAAAUAAGAGGCGAAAAAGAGGAAGAAGUCACUAACGGCAACGGAGAAAUCAAAGCAAUGGGGGAUUCGGAAUCAGCUUUUAUUGUAGCUCACAAGAAGGCUACCCUUACAAAGCUCAGCAAUGGCGUCGAACGUAUCUCCGUUUCUAUCGACCUCUAUAAUCGUGGAUCUUUGAGCUUUGCUGCUGUUGGUGUGGAUCCUUCUGUUAUGGGGUUUGGCCCAGCUUUUGCCAUUCCUGCUGCAGUGAAAUAUGUCGAGCUAAAGCUUAACGAUAUCAAUCUAUUUUUUAAUAUGUAUGUCCAAGCCUAAUCAGAGGAUUAUUUGUGGGCUGAUCAAGUAAUAUGAGUAGAUACAAAUCAUGAAGAUUUUCAUGAUUUAAUGUAAAAAGGUGCAAAGCAUUGUUGUUAGUGGAUCAAAAGCUGUGGAGCAUCUGUCAUACAUGUUUAACUCGGGCCAAGAUUUAAAGCUUAACGAUAUCAAUCUAUUUGAGAUAAAUGAGGCCUUUGCAUCUCAGUAUGUUUACCGUUGUAAAAAGAUGAACCUCGAUCCAGCGAAAGUUAAUGUUAAUGGGGGAGUAAUAGCCCUUGGACAUCCCUUGGGAGCUACAGGAAAACUAAGGUAAACACCAAGGAAAGAUCACAACCAUGGCAGAAUCCAUUGUUGUAUCAGCUGUCCAGUGGAUUGGCUCUAUAUUGAUUCAAGAGGCCAAUAUAUUAUUCGAUGUUGCAGAUCAAGUACGGGGCCUUCAGCAAGAGAUUGAGCUGAUGCAGCAAUAGCUUUGGCCUAAGAAGAAUCAAUGAAGCAGAAGGUUUGGACUAAGAAGAUAAUUGAAAAGUUAAAUAGCUUUGGACUAAAAAGAAUCAAUGUAGCAGAAGGUUUUUAGUUUUAACUAUUUAGGCAAUAAUAAAUGUUUUUUUUUGCUCAUUGUAUAAAUAUGAAGUAUAUUUUUAUCUCAAUUAAUUAAUAAAAUAAUUGUGCUAUAA
Long non-coding RNA from Chenopodium quinoa (quinoa), 1402 nucleotides. RefSeq lists it as uncharacterized. The transcript has 6 exons. The record is from RefSeq and is a predicted model, not a curated record. NCBI's taxonomy places the organism in Eukaryota, Viridiplantae, Streptophyta, Magnoliopsida, Caryophyllales, Amaranthaceae.